UCUCCGUAGGUGAACCUGCGGAAGGAUCAUUACUGAGUGAGGGCCCCUCGGGGUCCAACCUCCCACCCGUGUUUAACGAACCUUGUUGCUUCGGCGGGCCCGCCGCACGGCCGCCGGGGGGCAUCUGCCCCCGGGCCCGCGCCCGCCGAAGCCACCUGUGAACGCUGUCUGAAGUAUGCAGUCUGAGACAAUUAUUAAAUUAAUUAAAACUUUCAACAACGGAUCUCUUGGUUCCG
RNAcentral lists this unclassified non-coding RNA (236 nucleotides) under plant metagenome. RNAcentral describes it as "partial contains small subunit ribosomal RNA, internal transcribed spacer 1, and 5.8S ribosomal RNA". The record is from RNAcentral.